UUUUCCUCAUUAACAAAGAAUUACGCCUCUUCUUCGGGUGCACCCCAGACACGCCCCCAGCGCCCAGAGAGAGAGAAAGAGAGAGAGAGAUCUGCUAACCUAAGCACGCUGCCGACUGCCAUGGCGAGCUCAGAUGCAGGAACGUCGUGGGGAAGUGAAUAUCAAGUGUUCUUGAGUUUCAGAGGACCCGAUACUCGCUCGGGAUUCACAGAUUUCCUCUAUCAUUCUUUGACCGAUGCUGGAAUCCGCGUCUUCCGAAACGACGAAGAGCUCCGUGUCGGCGAAACGAUCGAUGGAUUGCUUAUGCAAGCCAUCAACAACUGCAGGAUCUACAUACCCAUCUUCUCUCCAAACUAUGCUUCGAGCCUGUGGUGCCUCAGAGAGCUCUCGCAGAUCGUGACGAACACCUUAAAAUCAGAAGGUAAUAAAGAGAUCCUACCUGUUUUCUACGACGUCGAACGUGAUGAUGUCAUACUGAAUACUCCGUUAUAUCGCGGUGCCCUGCUCAAUUUGGAGUGCAAGAAGAAAUUGAGGAAUGAGCAAGUAGAUGCGUGGAGACAGGCUCUUAUGGAUGUUCGUGCGAUAAAAGGGUGGGAAGUGAAGAAGUACAAAAGCGAGGGCGAAGUGAUAAAAUUGUUGGUUGAAAGAGUCAUCCAAAAGCUAAAGACAAAACAGAAAUCGGUGAUUGAACGUUUGGUUGGAAUUGAUGAUCGGAUAUCAGAAAUAAGCAACUUAUUAGACAUUAACUCCAGUGGGGUACGAUUCAUUAAAAUAUAUGGCAUGGGAGGUAUCGGUAAAACGACUCUCGCCAAUGCCGUAUUCAAACAAUUUUUUCCUCAUUUUGGAAACAGUUGUUUUGUUAAAGAUGUUCGAGCUAAGUCGUCAAGAACUAAUGGCUUAGUUGAGUUGGAAAAAGAGUUAUUAGAAAAAAUUGGUCAUCCUACAGGAACAAGGAACAUAGAUGAAAUGAAUUAUGGAGUAAAGAGGACUAGAGAAGCACUUUGCAAUGAGAAAGUCCUCAUUGUGCUCGAUGAUGUUGAUAAUAGGGAACAAGUGGAGAAAUUAAUUGGAAAUAGUACUUUGUGUUCAGGAUCUAGAAUAUUGAUAACAACUAGAGAUGAAGGAGUUUUGCCAACCAAUACAUCCAACUAUCCAGUUUUAAAUUAUGAAAUGGAGGCGAUGAGUACUAAUCAUGCCAUUGAGCUUUUUAGUUGGCAUGCAUUCAAUAAAGACUCUCCUUCACCUGGUUACAAUGAUCUCUCAAGGGAAAUCGUAUCUACUACUGGGAGACUUCCAUUAACUCUUGAAGUAAUUGGUUCAUUCCUCUACCGGAAAGUGCGAGGACUAUGGAUAGAGACAUUGCAUGAGUUAAAAAAAUCACUUCCCAAGGAUGUUUUUACGAGGUUGAAGAUCAGCUAUAAUGCCUUAGAUUUUGAGCAGCAAGAAAUUUUCCUUGAUAUUGCAUGCUUUCUUAUUGGUGAGGAUAAGACAAAUGCAGUUUACAUGUGGAGAGACCUUGAACUUUCCCCGGAUUAUGGAGUUGAUGUCCUCAUUCGCAUGUCUUUGGUAAAGAUUGUGGAGAACAAUAAGUUUUGGAUGCAUGAUCAACUUAGAGAUCUUGGACAGGAAAUUGUUCAUCUAGAAAAUCCAAUAGAUCUCAGAGCGCGGAGUAGGAUAUGGACUUGCAGGGAGGUCCUCGAUGCAAUAAGAGCAAAGGAGAUGGACUGGAAUGUUCAAGGACUAUCUCUUGAUUCAUAUGCACAAAGGUUUGAUGAUAACGUUGUUCUAAGUAAAGAGAUUGGAACGUUUCAGCGUCUAACGUUCCUUAAAUUACUCAGAGGAACCUUUGCAGGCGACCUAGCAAAUUUUUUUCCUAACUUAAGAUGGAUUUCUUGGUAUUUUCCUCCGCAAAUCAAUAAAUGGACGAACAUGUACCUAAAGAAUGUUGUCGUUCUUGAAUUUACAGGGAUUGGCUUGUUAGAUGAUUCGAGAUUGCAGGGCUUAAUCGAGAGGGCAAGAAAAUUGAAAGUUCUCUCUCUUAAAAGUUGUCACUGCAUAAAAGAAGCACCAAACUUCUUUGGAUGCUUGAAUUUAGAGAGGCUUGCUUUUGAAGAUUGUUCUAAUUUGAAGAGAAUGGACAGCUCUAUUGGGAAAUUAAAGUAUUUGAUUGACCUAAAGAUUGAUGGCUGCUUUUGUCUUAAAGAGUUGCCUGAAGAAAUCGGGGACCUAGUGAAUCGAAGUACUUCUUUGUACAACGGUGUAAAGUAAAGAAACUCCCAGAUUCCAUAUGGAAGUUGAAAUCACUACGCGAAUUGCAUUUUUCAAAUCACUUUGUUGCAUUCGUUUCAACAGAUUUAUGGGAGUUACCUAGGGCCAUUGUAAAGCUUCAAGAGCUGGAAGUGCUUCUAGUCAAUAGUUUCAAUUUAAAAGGUCAACUUCCUUUUAGCAUCGGAAAUCUGCCCUUUCUAAGGAUUCUAAAUCUAUCAAAUACCUGUGUUAGUGAAGUUUCAGAGACCAUUAGCAUGCUCCGUAACUUGAAAAGGUUGGAGUUGAUGGCAUGUCAUUAUAUUCAAGAGUUGCCAAUGCUCCCAACAAGUUUAACCCAUCUACGAGUGUCAUCUGCAUCGUUGCGAGCAAUCCCGAAUCUUUCUAACUUGAGCAAUUUGGUUGAGUUGGAUCUAAGUAUAGUGGAGAAGGAUGAGAUAAACUGGUAUGGGAGUUACACUUGUGAUUGGCAAGUACCCCAGCUGUGUUCGAGGUUGUGAAUGUGGAAAAACCUAAUAGCAUCCAGCGUGAGGAAACUGUCACGUACUGUCUAGUUAGAGCAAACUAUUUCCAUCUUAAAAAAGAUGACUGAAAUAUGGACGGAAAUAUCAAUUUUGCAGGCAGAGAAAGAGAGUAGAAUGGCAGGGGCCUGGGCACGAGACCAAAAUUGUUUUGUGGGUCAUGUGCUACUAAGAAAAUCAGAGCACUAGAGGAAAUUUCUUUUCCCCCUAAUUUUGCUUCCAUGUUCUAAUAGGGAACUGAAUUUUAUUUACUCUUCUGUCUCGAUGAGUUAUGGUGGAUUGGGUGGUUAUUCAAACUGGCUAAGCUAAGCUUGGGACUUCACAAUGUCCUUGCUCCUGUUGCUCCUGCUGAGCGACUUCCCUUUUCUGCUAGCUCGAGUUGAUUGUUUGGAAUGGACCUUGUAAACCUUUCGGCAACUAUCCUCUCUUGGCAGAAGCUACGCCUUGAUAAUUUCAAUUUAAUUGUGUCCCUCUCUCUGAACCUGGCCAAUUUGUCAGCUUUAGCUGUCUCUAAUCUCCAGUGCAAGAUAUUUCAACUCAUGGGCUUCAAGUUCCACAUCUAAUGGAGUUGCUUGUCGAAAGGCGGGUACCCCUUGAGAGAUUCAGGCUAUCAAGCAUGAGGAAGGCAAAAAAUGUCCAAGUGAGAUACUAUCUGAAGCUAGUUGAGAUCCAACUGUCUCAGGUGUUCAAAUCACUGGAUGCAUUGUCUAUUGAGUUGCGCGAGUCCUUCGGAAGGCUACUCUAUGUGGGGGAAGCAGGGCAUGAUAAUAAUGAUUCUUCUAAUGAACAUUAGUUGUGACGGGAGACUAAACCUUCCAUUGAGAGUCUUAUAUAAGUUGCAGAUUCUCACGUUGCUUGGAAGCAGGGUACAUCAGAAUCAGGGGAACACUUCAACCUUAAGAAAUGCCAUUAUACGCAAAGACUUGGUGGUUUGUCAAACUUGAGAAUCUCAUUUCUUUACAUAUCCGUGACAGCGAUGGGCUACAGGUAGUCAAGGGCCCUGAUGACCUAGAGUUUUUGAAUAGUUUACAAGUUCAUGGAUACGGAUCAUCGGAAAGGUUAAUUGAUGUAACAAGAACCCGACUGCCAAAUCAUAGCCUGGCUUGUAUCUCCGUUGCAGGAAAGACUUUUGGUGCUUCCUCGAGUCCUACAAGCACCAUAAGGUGGUACGCUGCUGUCCAGACCAUGGACAGCCGGCGUCUCUAUCCCUUUGACGUCAUUAAAUCCUUUGUGCAAGCUCCGAGGCAACUCUCACGGUUCCUCAUGUCUCGUGGACGCAUCGGGAUGAGUUUUGAAUGUUUUAAUGUCAUCAUCAAGUUCAAAGAAUGUGUCGACGCCCGCUGCUCACACUGGUAGGCGUACUGGAUACGGUUGAUUUCUCGUGCCUUUGAUUUCAUCUCGCCUCCUGGGUUGGCCUCUGUUGGCCCUCAUGAUCCAUGGACUCGUCGGGAUCGCCUCGGGCUAUUUCAGAUCCAUUUUUACACUAAAAGAGAGGUGAGCGCACGCUGUCCAGGUCAAGAAGUGGCUGGAAAGCGGGCCUUUGACUCUUGUCCCGGCUUUGAGAAGGGCUCCGAGUGAUCCCAGUCCCCCCUUUUGCAAGUUAGCAUCAUUUCCGUGUCGUUUUGCAUGCUUGUAACAUCUUUUAUUCAAGUUCUAGCCUUGUAUUUAGUUUUUUUGCUCAUUUAUACCUAUUUAGCUCAGUUUAGAUCCUGAAUUAUUUUUAUCAUUAUAAAAAGGAAAGGGAUAAAAAAUAUUUUUAAAAAAAUGCAUUUAAACAAUAUUGCAUCGUUGGACUUGUUGUAAUUUGGCUCAGUUUCGUUCUAUUUAGUUUAAUAUUUGUGGCGUCAUCAACGAGUUUAGGAAAUGUGCAUUCCUUUGUCGCGGAUGGACUCCACUUAAGCUCGCUCACGGCUUCUUUCUCUCUAGGUUACGGUAUAUGUGCAAGAGGAAGUAGAAAAUGAAGCUCUCAAGUUUUCUCUAUUUCACUCUACGGAAGUCACGGCCGAAUGGAGGAGAUGAAGUGGAGUGUCCGAACCCCGACGCACUCUUCCUUUUGCCCCUUUUAUAGAGCCACGUUUGAACCUGCCGCUUUCCCUCUAUUUCCAUUGCAAGUUUCACAUUUUUUAUUCCGGUUUUACCCUGCAAUUUGCAGCGGGUCUGACUAGCUCAUUUACCUUUUGGAUGAUCUCUUCUAGCUGGUGAAAUGCUUCGGCUUUUUCUUGUACAUUUCUGUCCCGACCCUCUCGAAGCAGUCCUGAUGUAUGUCCGGGGGGGACAGAUUUAGGGGUAAUGUUGAGCAGGUGUAAACGGUCCUGAUAUUCGAGAUUCUCUCCCUCAUUCAACGCAAGUUCUCCAAAACCUUUAUCUCGUGUAGCGUUGAAAGGUUCUUUUGAUUUGAUUCUAUGAAUUCUAUUCUAUCUUGAAA
RNA transcript from Eucalyptus grandis, 5211 nucleotides. It is a transcript of the gene named TMV resistance protein N-like, with no coding region annotated. The transcript has 5 exons. Lineage: Eukaryota; Viridiplantae; Streptophyta; Magnoliopsida; Myrtales; Myrtaceae. The record is from RefSeq and is a predicted model, not a curated record.